Molecule: ribosomal RNA, 150 nt
Filed under: Hyphomicrobiales bacterium
Lineage: Bacteria; Pseudomonadati; Pseudomonadota; Alphaproteobacteria; Hyphomicrobiales
Description: partial 16S ribosomal RNA
Rfam family: Bacterial small subunit ribosomal RNA
Source: RNAcentral
CAAACUUGAGAGUUUGAUCCUGGCUCAGGACGAACGCUGGCGGCAGGCCUAACACAUGCAAGUCGAACGAGAAACCAGAGCUUGCUCUGGUGGACAGUGGCAAACGGGUGAGUAACGCGUGGGAAUAUACCCAGUAGUACGGAAUAGCCU